AGAAAAACACUGUGUCGAGAAAAAAAAGAAAGAAAAACAGACAAACAAAUGAAAGACUGCAGGGCAGGUGGAGGUCUGCAUGCAAGACUAAAAAGGCCCAACUUUCCAGAUCAGAACAACAAACGGAGGCUGGGGAGUCUUGGCAAGAGGAUGGCCACACAGAAGCUUCAGGAAGCAAGGUGAAAAGCCACUCUCAUAUGGGGCAUCUCUAUGGAGAGGUUGAAUCUAUCAGAACCAUCUUUGCUUCCUGCUUCCUUUUUUUCCCAAUCCUGUCUGUUUACCUUCAGACCUCGCUGUCAUACUCUCAGCUGAACUUUAGAAUGUUUCUGGUUCUUUCCAGUCAUUUUCAGCCAGAUGUACCCAGGGAGUAGCUAAGGAAACAAGCCCAUGAGAGAUUUACAUGCCAGGAGUGGUGAACGUGGGUUGGCCCUGCCCAUUUCUCAACACGUAACAAGACAUAGGCCCUGGCAAACUCAGAGAAGAAAGAGGAAAUAUCCCAACGUGUGUGAGAGGGAGUCUCUUUUUUUUUUUUUUUUUUGAAGAUUUGUUUUGAUGUGUUUGUUUUGUCUGCUUGUAUGUCUGCACCACAUCCAUGCAAUGCCUAAGAAAGCUGGAAGAGGGCAUUGGAUCACCUGGACCUCUCGUUACAGGUGCUUAUGAACUGCCGUGCGGGUGCUAAGAAUCAAACACUGGUCCUCUACAUGAGCAACAAGCGUUCUUAAGCUCUGAGCUACCUCUUCAGACCUCUACCAGCUACAUGCAGGCGUUGUUCUUGUUGUUUUCCCUUAUGAAGCACGUGUUCAUUGGCCUAGCCCAGUCUUACUUCCCAUAAAUCCCCUGCAUCUCCCAUCUUGUAAAGAAGUUAAAGUUGCCCUCCUGGAAGAUAAACAGCACAUACUCCAUUAUGACUGUUUCUGUCCCUCCUCCAAAUUCAUAUGCUGAGAUCCUGGUCCUUUGUGAUGCAUUAAGAAGGAAAACUGAGUGUUCAAGGAUCUAGCACUGAGGUGUGUCCUCCUCUGUGCUGGUUGAAUUCUCACCUGAGAUCACAGCAGAGCCCUGCCUGGGCACUUGCUAAGAAGACAGGGCUUGUGGAUUUACCCAAAGACGAGCAACUGUCAAUGAGAUGGGCACUGUCACAAUUAUUUUACAGACACUGAUCUUGGCAGUUACACUUGUCAUAUUGAAGAGAAAAGCAAUCCACUUCCGGGGCCAGAAAGACGGCUCAGUGGGUAAAGGCACUUGCCACCAAGCCUGACAGUAUCUGGAUCCCACGUGGUGGAAUAGAGAACCAACUCCUAAAAAUUUGACCUUCACAGGCACUCUGUGGCAUACACACGUGCACGCUUGCACACACAUACAUGCAUAAAUUAGUUUGGUUUUUUUUUUUAAUCCACAUCUAGUGUUGACAGCAGGAGUAGAAGUGUGUAGUCAAGUCACCUUGAGAGCCAUGUAUGUAUGUGAGUAGGGGGUGUAUGCUCAUAAGCAAAGGUGCUUAUGGAGGCCAGAGGCAUGGGGUAUCCCUAGAGAUGGAGUUAUAACUGGGGUCUAGUCGCCCAAUGUGGAUGCCAGGAAACAAACUGGGGUCUUCUACAAGAGCAACUGUUGAGCCAUGUCUCCCAGUGUUACUUUGUGUUGUUUUGUUUUGUUUUUGUUUUUCAAGACAGGGUUUCUCUGUGUAGCCUGGCUGUCCUGGAACUCAUUUUGUAGACCAGGCUGGCCUCGAACUCAGAAAUCCACCUGCCUCUGCCUCCCGAGUGCUGGGAUUAAAGGCGUGCGCCACCACGCCUGGCUCCAGUGUUACCUUUUGAAUAUUUUAUUCUUAGGAAACAAUGAAGCAUAUUCAGGCAUUACCAUAAAAACUCAAGUGCCACAUUGUUUAUGAAUUCCAAAACUAUGUAAUAUGUUUAUCACAAAAUAAAACAUGAUAUGUAAAAUCAACAUGAUA
This is a long non-coding RNA of Mus musculus (house mouse), 1945 nucleotides long. RefSeq annotates it as predicted gene, 53897. The record is from RefSeq and is a predicted model, not a curated record. The transcript has 2 exons. NCBI's taxonomy places the organism in Eukaryota, Metazoa, Chordata, Mammalia, Rodentia, Muridae.